Long non-coding RNA from Grus americana (Whooping crane), 8839 nucleotides. RefSeq lists it as uncharacterized. The record is from RefSeq and is a predicted model, not a curated record. NCBI's taxonomy places the organism in Eukaryota, Metazoa, Chordata, Aves, Gruiformes, Gruidae. The transcript has 4 exons.
UUCACUGACAGUAUAAAGAGCAUGAGUUCUACAGCUCCUCUGUGGAACAAGGGAUCUCUUAGUUUUCAAGACUGGCAUUUCUGAAGUAAAGAUCAUAUUGCUCCUUUCUGCUGUCAAGAAAAUUAUCUGUUAACGGGAAAGUGAAGACCACUGCUGGCAUUUGAUAGAGCAGACUUAGUACAAAAGACAACGCCUGAGAUGGAGAAUGUGGCUCUAGAGCUCUGGGGAUUUGCAUGAAUUUACUAUUAUCGUACGCUGUACAACUGCAAAGUAUUUCUGUACUAUUCAAAGGUAAAUAAAUCAGUUGUGUAAAAUGAAUAAAAGCUAUGAAACAUCCAGAUGGAGCUUUCUAACCAUCAAAACGAUCUUGACUUCUGUGCUAUGAAACUUAAGUCAUGAAGACAGGAAGGGGAUGCAGAACACUUGGAUCAGUAUACUGACCUGGAAAAAGGGGAAUUCAAGAUAAUUCAGACACAGUGAUGUGCAUCAGUAAUACAGCAUGGAGGACUUCAAAUGUCUAUAUGCUCCCUUGAUAUGCAGUGGACAGAGAUCAGCAGUUCCAGAUGGUGGUCUAAUCAGCCAAAGUCCAAGUGAUUCCUUGGGAGUGCCUCACAGGAGAAGAAACCUAGGGAGACUGGACGUAUAUAGCUAGGAAAUUCAGUGCUCUACAGUGAGAGAUGAAGGCUACAUAAACAAAUAUCCUUCUGAAUGAGGAUUCAGGCACUGAACUGGGACUCACCGUGGGAAAAAAAGCUCAAGCGAGGCAAAAUGAGAUUAAGGCAAUGGGGGAAAAUAGAAAAGAACUAAAAAAAAAAUAAAUUUUUUUUUUUUUGUUCUUUGGGAAAUCUCAAGGCCAUGGAUUUACAUUCUCUACUUAGGAUCACUUUUUUGUAAUUUCAGAAUGAAUCAAGGAGUGUGUAGGUAGAUACAUCAUGGUGGGGGAAGCUGCACAAACAAGUUUAAAAACACAUGGAAUUGUUCUCAUUAUCAUGUUCUGAAUCAUAGGAAUGUACUAUAGUAAUCAAAUUUAAUAUUGCAAAAAUAGGGUUUUUUAAAAAGUGCUCAAGUUCUGCACAUAAAAACCAUUUUAAAUCCCUUGCACAUGUUUUAUGAUUAUUUUGAUGCCUCUUGUGGCUUUGAGCACAUACAGUAUCCCACACACACCUAGCACGCAUCCCAAACAUCAUUAAUUUAAGAAAGAGGCUUACGUCUGAUUCUGCAGCUCCCCACUCCCGCUGCUUCUGCUUCAGCUGCAGUCAUAUUGAGGUUUGUGACAUCUCACUUACAGGAACAUCAUUAGAGAGAAUUAUGACCUCAGGUGAGGGAGAAGCAGCAGGAGUAGAUGAAAUGAUCAGAAGUGAGUCUCAUGUUUGUGUAGAAACAUUUGUGAGAUCAAAUUUAGAGAUCAGAAAAACAGAGAGAAAAAAGAUAAAGAGUAGUACAUGGCUGGAACUUUCCCUGAUAGAUUGUUUUCCAAAUUUUUCUGGAAGCAUCUGGGACCAAGACUCCAAAGGCAGUGACAUUUUACUUGCCAAAAUAUAACAGAGGAAAAAUUAAAAUGGGAUCACAGCACAUAAGUCUGAAUUAAUCUUUCUCUCCUCUUUAUCUUCCUUUAACUUUCAUAUAUGACCUCCAUCACAAUAAAGUCUAAGAGUCUGGGCAAACCUACACUGAUGUAAACUGAUAUAGUUCUUCAGUGAAGCUUCAUUAAUUUGUAGUGCUGGCGAUAUGACCCUACUAACAUCAUUGGAAUUACAUUUGAUGCCUACUACAAAUUCAGAAAAUGGCUUUGAAAGACAUGACUGAUUAUGCUACAUUUGCUUCUUUGAAAGAAAGUGGAUAUUUCUCUCUGGAACUUUUAAUCCCCUAUGACAUUUCAAGUGUAACUAGUAUAAUCUUAAUCAGAAUCAAACCCAAAGGAUCAAGAAAUGAAAAAGAGUAAUUAUAUUAUCAGAUUAGAGGAAAAAUUACCACAGUCUUAAAGGGAUGACAGAGGCUUCAUUGCUAUGUGAAAAAUGUUUCAUUUCUACAGAAAAAAAAGAAAUCUUAUCACGUACUUCAGUGUAACCUUCAUGUUGUGUUUUGUGGGAGGUAAGCACGUGAGAGAGCAUAACGCACUCUGGGUUUCCGAGCAGAGUAGGAAAACCAGAAUUUUGUCAGUCUGAGGAUGAGGGAGUGCAGGUGCAAGGAGAAGAGCUGGGGUAGAGGAAAGGGCUGGAUGAGCUUCCCAGAUCCUCUUGCUGGGGAGGGAUGGAAGGAGUAUGGAGAAUGACCAGUAACUUUUUUCCUUUUUUUUUCCCCAGUAAUAGCCAUUACUCCAUUCUCCUGUCUGGAGUGGCAGAAGUGGCCAGCACACCAAUGGCGUAGGCACAGCAGCAAAGAAACUGUGGCCAUGUUGUCUCUGAUGGUCUAUGGUUAGAGGUAACCACCUCCUCUGUCCUCUGUAAAGCUAGAAAUGGCUUUGUCCCUACAAAGAUUAUUGAUCUAAAGUAUAAUAGUUUCAUCCAGGAAAUCUAUAGAUUUAUUAACUUCUCAAAGUUAUGAAAAAUUAUUCUGGAUUAAAUUCCACAGGCCCUCACAGCAAUGUCUACAAAAUGUUAUUAAUAUUUGAAGACUCUCUUUAGUGUUUUGCUAUGUUUGCCUUGCAUUUCUCGGUCUACGCUAAUCGAUGAAGCAAGGUCACAACAUGGUCUUGUAACUCUCUUGCAAUCACCCACAAGCAUUCAGCCCUUGCCAUUUGUCACUCAGAAGCUAGUACAAGCCAGGAAAUAUUCCCACAAGGCAGUUUUUUCCAUCACCACCCUGGGAUUUUUGGGAAAUAAGAAAGUUUAGCUGUUUAGAAAAAAGUGUUUCUGUACCAAGUUGACCUCGCAGAGAGGAAUGUGCUUUAAUUGGUUUCCUAGGCAUAAUCCAACACUUUAUCGGGUGCAGACUUCUAAGGACCCUCUCAAUCCUUUCUCGGACUUCGAUAUGAUAGACUGGGCAUCUUCCAAGCUAGAUGUUAGACACAUGAGCAUGAAUUGAUUGCAUUCAUAACUCGUAUUUAGAAGCAGAACUUAUUAACUAGGGUUCGGUGCUGUGUUUACUCAGUUUCUGACUAUUUUCUUGUACAGACAUGUAGCCAUGAAGCUCUCGACAGGUGACUUUCAUGACAUAACCAAAAAUGUAUUUUCCAAAAAGGAUUUGUCACUUUGGAUUGUAAAUUCAAGAUGCCAGUGAUUUAGCUGUUUAAUUGAAGAAACUAGUAGAAGUUGAAAUUUCAGUACCAUUAUAUUAUUCUGCUACAAUCAAUAAUAAAAAAUACAAAUUUGAUCAGUUGCCCUGACUUCUAGCUUUGUUUUGCCAACACAUAUCAGACUCCCAGUCAUGCUGUCAUCUGAAUUGGACUGCUACUUUCUUUGGAUUCUCUGCUAGCAGUAUGGGGUCUUUUGCUGAACUGUUGGCUUGCUACUUUUCUAAUGAAGUGAACAGGACGGGAUAUCAGGAAAAUUGAAAAUGGGAGCACAGGGAAAGAGUAUUGAUUAUACAACUCAGAAUGGACUUGACAAUAACAACUUCUUCCUACCUGUCCUUGAAAACUCAGCAAAAAACUUCAGGUACUUACGUAUUACUUUUUGUCAAUUUAUUUCAAGGUAUUUCACAACAUUUAUUUUUCUUAACUUAAUGUGGGAUACAAAAAUAUGGUUCUUCCAUCCAUCUGCGUAUUUCAUAAUCUUUAGUUCCUGUUUUUCUGACUUGCUGCAUUUAUGAGUUGGUCCUGGGAAAAUCGUAACCUCAUGAAUAUGUAGUCUGCUUCAAGUAUAACCAGCAGACUUUUAAUUGCUGAUGUUCUCAUGGCAGAAUAAAUCUCUAUGUUUUUAAAAAUUUAAAGUUUUAAGUGUUUCAUUCAAUGUAAUAUAUUACCUAUUGAGUUACAUUACAUUUGGGAUUCUGUUUCAAAUAAAUUCAAAAAUCCUUAGUUUUUAUAGUCUUCCAGGCCUCGUGAUGGACUUUUAAAAUCUUAAUUAAUUCUUAGAGUCUUUAAAUAUGGCCAUUAAAGAGACUGCUGUUCUUUCUCCUUCACAAACUUUGGAAAGUUGGUUGUAAAGAGGAGAGUAAAGAACAUUUAACCAAGAUGAAAAUCCAAAGAGCUGUAUUUCAGAGUGAGUGUAAACAUAUAUUUCUGUUCACAGCUCAGUGUAUUUCAGACUUGUCCUUUAUGACAGCAAUCAGAAAAUUACUGAUGUGCCUUUAGCUGAAAUAACUCAUUUAACAAAAUAAGGAAUAAAAAUUAUAAACACUUGUUACUUUGUUUUCAAGUAUGAACAAGAAAGAGGAUUGCAGUAUUCUCUGAAAAUUUAUAAAAAAUUCAAACAAGUUGGUAAUGCUCUAAUAAAAAAAGGAUUAAUUUUAACAGUUCUAGCAAUAGCCCCAUUUCAGUAAUGCUAUUUUUCUUGAGUGUAAGUUAUUAAUAAUGAUUAUGCUCGUAACUGUUUUGCCAUUGCCAUAAGCUUUGUACUGUGUUUGCAAGGCCUUGGAACUGAUGCUUGUCAGGCUUGCUCUGUCUGAACUCUUCCUGACAUGCCAAAAUUUUUUUUUUUUAUUGUUAUUAUUUGAUUUAGUUGUGAUAGCAAUUUCUCUAAUUGACCAGGUGUCUGUAUCUAAUUUGUUUUACUUUUACUUUGGUUUAUGUCUGUAGUGGUAGAACCAUAGUUUUACACAGAUAGCAGUAACAAACCAUGGUCCUAGGGAGAAUGAGAUUGUUACGGCUCUACCAUGAUGAGAAUCUCAGACCUGGGGUGACAGCAGAGACUUUGAGAAGUGGAGACAUGCAAAGUGGUGUAGAAAAGGUGCAAACAAGGAUGUUAAGAGGUGGAGCACAGGCUGGCACUGGAGAUUCCAUGGCUGUAAAGAGUUCUCCAGUGGUCAGUUAAAGAACUGCAGACCUGGAGGUGGACAAAAGUGGUUUUAGGGGCAACAAAGUGAAUAAAAGGAAUAGUAUCUGACAUAUGUAAUGGAAACCAUAUAUAUUGUAAAUUUGGAUGUAAACUGGAGCUGCAGAUGAAGGAAGGAAGGAAGAUGUGAAUGCAUGCUAGCAAGCUUAUAAAGAUGACCCCAAGUGGACCCUGGGAGGAGGAAGAAGAAACCAUCAUGAACCAUCAUUUGUCUUACCAAAGGACUCCAGAAAUGAUGACUUGGUGUAAUACCCCUCCACCAUCAGCACCACAGUGAAAACACCAGUGUUAGGACUCAGAGGAGCAGGAGCAGGGUGAGAAUAACCCAAGAAGCAAGAGUAGAAGCGAAGAAGUGUGUGUUGUAAUUUUAACUGUGUUACUGUCACUGUGAUUUUUUCUCUUAAUAAGUACUCUAUCUGCAUUACUGUUUUUUUUUCUUUUUCUGUAAUAAUUGGAUCUAGAUUUAUGAUAAUUCUUGAAUAAGACUGUAGAGACUUUCAUUACACUAACAAUCAAUUCUUAGCUUUACAUAUAUAUAUAUAAAAAUAAGGUUUGUUUCUUUUUUGCCCAUAAACAAGACCUCAAGCAUAACAUACUAAUGAAAGUUCUCACCCUAUCCCAGUAACUAUAUAUUUUAAAAUUGCCCUAAAUCUUAAAGUAAGAUUUUACACUUUUACCAACUAUAGCCUAAAUAUUAAGAUUACAGAAACCUUGUUUUUCCAGAUAUGUAGCCAAAAUUAUUAUCAUGCACCCCAUGUUAAGUCAGCAGAAUGCAUGCAUGUGAUCACAGAGAGAAAGAGGGGGAAGGAAGAAAAGCCCUUGCAACCAUAAAUGAAAAGCCACUGUCUUUCUGCCAAAUUCCGUAGAUCUAAAUUCAAUUGAACUUGGUAACCUCUAGGAUAACUCCAUCAUUAGCAGAGUUAUACAAGUUGGAUAAAUUGCAAAAAUGCCAUUGGGUUUCAAAUCUGAGAUAUUUCAAUAUUGCAGUGAGCUCUGAGUUUGAGCUUUUGAAAGCACACGUCUGAACACGUCAGUGAUACGCAGUUGAAUUGAGAAAGAACUGAUGAAAGUAUUGGCAUUGUUUGUAACCUUAUUAGGUACUGUGACUACAGACCAGGUUUUAUUCCCACCAAACACAUUACCCCCACCUUGAAAAUGUUGUUUUGUGCUUAGAACUGGAGGAACACAGGACAAAAAGACUAGAAAACACUCUCAUACCUUCCUGUCAAGUCACACAUGAGCAUGACAUAGUGCCUCACUCAUAAACAGGCAGUCUUCACUAUCAAUUACUCUCCUGAAAAUUUUGCUGGCUUCAUAAGUAUGAAGUGGGCUAAAUAGUUUAAAUUGAAACUGGAUAUAUAUUAGUUCACCUACUAAUGGAAAGCUACUGAGACUGAAGAUUUUUUCGACAUGGUGGAAAGAGAGAAACACAGAGUAGUUGUUCCCAUCUGUUUUUUUGAUACUGAGGGAGGUGGUGCAAGUGCUCACCAAGCCACUUUCCAUCAUUUAUCAGCAGUCCUGGCUAACCAGGGAGGUCCCAGUUAUGUGGAGGUUAGCAAAUGUGAUGCCCAUCUACAGGAAGGGCCAAAAGAAGGAUCCGGGGAACUACAGGCCUGUCAGUCUGACGUCGAUGCCAGGGAAGGUUAUGGAGCAGAUCAUCUUGAAUGACAUCACAUUGCACACACAAGGAAACCAGGUGAUCAGACCCAUGGGUUCAUGAAAGGCAUGCUCUGCUUGACUAACCUGAUCUCCUUCUAUGACAAGGUGACUCACUUAGUGGAUGAUGGAAAGACUAUGGAUGUUGUCUACCUGGACUUUAGUAAAGUCUUUGACAGCGUUUUCCCACAGCAUUCUCCUGGACAAACUGGCUGUUCAUGACUUGGACAGGCAUAGUCUUUGCUGGGUAAAAAACUGGCUGGAUGUCCAGGCCCAAAGAGUUGUGGUGAAUAAAAUUAAACCCAGCUGGUGUUCCCCAGGGGUCAGUAUUGGGGCCAGUUCUCUUUAAUAUCUUUAUCAAUGAUCUGGACGAGGAGAUCGAGUGCACCCUCAGUAAGUUUGCAGAUGACACCAAGCUGGGUGGGAGUGUUGAUCUGCUUGAGCAUAGGAAGGCUUGACAGAGGGAUCUGGACAGGCUGGAUCAAUGGGCUAAGGACAAUUGUAUGAGGUUCAACAAGGCUCAGUGCUGGGUCCUGCACUGGGGUCACAACAACCCCAUACAAUGCUACAGGCUUGGGGAAGAGUGGCUGGAAAGCUGCCCAGCAGAAAAGGACCUAGGGGUGGUGGUUGACAGCCGGCUGAACAUGAGCCAGCAGUGUACCCAGGUAGCCAAGAAGGCCAACAGCAUCCUGGCUUGUAUCAGAAAUGGUGUGGCCAGCAGGACUAGGGAAGUGAUCAUCCCCCUGUAUUUGGCACUGGUGAGGCUGCACUUCGAGUGCUGCAUUCAGUUUUGGGCCCCUCACUACAAGAAGGACAUUGAGGUGCUGGAGAGUGUCCAGAGAAGGGCAAUGAAGCUGGUGAAGGGUCUGGAGCACAAGUAUUAUGAGGAGUGGCUGAGGGAACUGGGGUUGUUUAGCCUGGAGAAAAGGAGACUGAAGGAGACCUGAUCGCUCUCUACAACUACCUGAAAGGAGGUUGUAGCCAGGUGGGUGUUGGUCUCUUCUCCCAAGCAACAAGUGAUAGGACAAGAGGAAAUGGCCUCAAGUUGUGCCAGGGGAGGUUUAGAUUGGAUAUUAGGAAAAAUUUCUUCACCGAAAGGGUUCUCAAUCACUGGAACAGGCUGCCCAGAGAAGUGGUGGAGUGACCAUCCCUGGAGGUAUUUAAAAGAGGUGUAGAUGUGGUGCUUAGGGACAUGGUUUAGUGGUGGCCUUGGCAGUGCUAGGUUAAUGGCUGGACUCGAAGACCUUAAAGGUCUUUUCCAACCUAAACGGUUCUAUGAUUCUAUGAUUCUCCCACAGCUGGACAGAUUAAUCCAAUAGAAAGUGAUUUGUAAUUGGUAGCACAGUAGAAAUCAAUAAGUGGCAUCUCAGUUAUUAUUGUUGUGAUUACACAGUGGGUUUUGCUAAUUUGUAACUGGUUAGCUGGUUCUAUGUAAGUAAAUUUUUUUAUUAAAGAGUGUAUUCAGAAAUUAAAAAAAAAAAGAAACAGGGAAAUGGCAACUUAGACAUUUUAGUUCAGUUUAAGAAAUAAUAAUUUUCUUUAUCUGGAGUCAGAAUGCUAAUAAAGAUGGAAGCAAAAAUUACUCUAGAAGUCUUCGGUAUUUUCUCUUCACCAAGAAAAAAAAAUAAAUAAUUAGAAUUAGAACAAAUGCUCAAAGAUUGCUGUUGGAUCAAGAGUACUGAAUGUUCAAGGGGUGAAUGGAAGUAGUAAGACUGGGAACAUCUUUGGUGCUGCAGCCAAGUUACACAGCCAGACAAAGCUGCCUAGCAGUCAGAAAUCUCUCCCUUGUUACACUAUGUGAGGUAUCCAGAAUGCAUCUGUAUAAGUAGUUUUUCUCUAAGAAUAACUUGCUUAGAGAAAAGAACAAUUUAUGCCAUAUCUGUCUCAUUUAAAACAUAAACCAGAAAAUCUGUGUGGUUGAGGCAUGGAACACUGCCAGGAAAAUAUCAACAAUACAAGGGGAAAAAAAUUCUACGUUAUAUACCCGCUUUGCAUUUUUACUGCUAGCACAAUUGUUGACAUUGUAAAUUGACUCUUAACAUCAUAAAUGGCUUCCCACACAUUGUAAAGUAAAUCCCGUAGACUUUUAUUAGUAUCAUAAAUGGCUUCUUAACAUGUAAAUGGCUUUCUUCACAUGGCAAUGUAAAUCCCACAGGCUUUUAUUGACAACAUAAGUCAUAUAGUGUAUUGCAGUUUGCUAUCAUUGUUGGUUUUCAUUUAAAAACUAAAUAAAAGUUUGGGGAAAUAAA